CCUACGGGGGGCAGCAGUGGGGAAUAUUGCACAAUGGGGGAAACCCUGAUGCAGCGACGCCGCGUGAGUGAAGAAGUAAUUCGUUAUGUAAAGCUCUAUCAGCAGGGAAGAAAAUGACGGUACCUGAGUAAGAAGCCACGGCUAACUACGUGCCAGCAGCCGCGGGAAUACGUAGGGGGCAAGCUUUAUCCGGAUUGACUGGGUGAAACGGGAGCGGAGACGGCAGUGCAAGUCUGGAGUGAAAGGCCGGGGCUCAACCCCCGGACUGCUCUUGAAACUGGACGGCGGGAGUGCAGGAGAGGUCAGUGGAAUUCCUUGUGUAGCGGUGAACUGCGUAGAUAUUAGGCGGAACACCAGUGGCGAAGGCGGCUUACUGGACUGUACCUGACGUUGAGGCUCGACAGCGUGGGGAGCAAACAGGAUUAGAUACCCUAGUAGUC
RNAcentral lists this ribosomal RNA (440 nucleotides) under uncultured bacterium. RNAcentral's name for it is "partial 16S ribosomal RNA". It matches the Rfam family "Bacterial small subunit ribosomal RNA", at positions 338 to 795 of the family's 1533-position model. The record is from RNAcentral.